UACAGAGGGGGCAAGCGUUGUUCGGAAUUACUGGGCGUAAAGGGCGCGUAGGCGGCCUGCUAAGUCGAACGUGAAAUCCCCGGGCUCAACCCGGGAACUGCGUCCGAUACUGGUUGGCUUGAAUCCGGGAGAGGGAUGCGGAAUUCCAGGUGUAGCGGUGAAAUGCGUAGAUAUCUGGAGGAACACCGGUGGCGAAGGCGGCAUCCUGGACCGACAUUGACGCUGAGGCGCGAAAGCCAGGGGAGCAAACGGG
RNAcentral lists this ribosomal RNA (253 nucleotides) under uncultured bacterium. RNAcentral describes it as "partial 16S ribosomal RNA". It matches the Rfam family "Bacterial small subunit ribosomal RNA", at positions 524 to 776 of the family's 1533-position model. The record is from RNAcentral.